This 1529-nucleotide long non-coding RNA is filed under the name Anser brachyrhynchus (Pink-footed goose). Its description in RNAcentral is "lncRNA (ENSABRG00000019881.1)". The record is from RNAcentral. Lineage: Eukaryota; Metazoa; Chordata; Aves; Anseriformes; Anatidae.
CUUCUGAAUAGAAAUACUGCCCCUAAAAGUUAAACUAGUGUUGUCCAAAGCAAAGCAAAGGGUAAAGUCAAGCUCCUUGGGCAUGAUGCUGAAAAGAGACAGUAUGAGACAUGCGAAGUUGUAAUGUAGAGGGCCUUUAGGAUGCAGUGAUAUUUUCCUGAAUUGGGGCUCAGUAGCUGGUAUUUUGGGGAGCGCGGUCGAAGUCACAUCAGGGUUUUGUGAGAAUGGUUGAACAAGGAAUCAGCAGGGGAACUGUAAAGCUUUCUUUGCUUAGGCUUAGUCGGUUGUACAACCCUGAGAUCUCAGAAAAAUGAAACUAUGGAUAAAGCAUCCCUUUGCUUCACUUCAGCUGUUUUACUUUGUCACAAAAAAAAAGUUGGAGCACUCUAUUGGAAAGAGCCAAGUGUUUUGGUUGCUGUAGACAUGUAAGAUGGAGCUCAGUGCUUUCCACACGCACCUGGGGACUUGACUCGUGGAAGCCGUAUCCUGCCAGAAACCAGUCCUUAGCCAAGCAAUUCUGGACAAUUCCUGGCAUACAGGAGAGCUGAUAAAGUUGACAGGAGCAUGACCAAGGCUUUGUGUGUGUGUGUUUGUACAGCUUGUGCUUGUCAGGAGGCAGAACUUUCUUUCACUGGAGUAAUACCCUGGUGGAUGCUGCACUGUUGAUGUACGGAGGUUGGCUGUUUGCUCCUUGGUCACUCUCUGCCCCGUGGGCAGGGUGCUGAGCCACCAGGACCUCCCUAGACCCAGCGUGGCCAUCCCUCCAGCACUACCUGCAGGGAGAGGAGCUCAGAGAGCAGCAGCAUCUUCACUGUGUGCUUGACCCAGAUAGUGACAGGAAGAAAAAAGUUCCUUGUGGUUUUGCUACAAACACUGGUGUUUUGCUUUCCACCGAGCAGCGGUGAGCCAAGGAGGCAGCUGCUGCAGCAGGCCUACACUUUUUUGCAAGAAAGUCACAGUGCCACGUGUGCUUGCUGAUUCAAUCUGGGAGGAGGACAGAGACACGGACCUGUCAGUGACAGCACUGAUCCGCCUUCAGCUCCAUGGAUGUGUUAGCACUCAAGAGGCAGGCACUGUAGCUGCAGUUGGCAGAAUGUCUUCUCGAGGUGGUCAAGGAGGGGCACUCCUCUCCAAAGCACAAGGUUGGCGUAAAACUUGCUGUCAGCUGCAAAAGGAAUUAAUUUUUGCCUGUACGUUAAGGGUAGGCUAUAGUUGGUGUUGCUGUUAAACAGUUGAACUCUUCCCUGGCUGCAAGCCUCUUUGUCCCACACAAAAAGCUUGUAGAAGAAGACAAAACCAAUUUCAUAACACUGUAAUGAAUAUGAGAAAAGCAAUUUUCCUAAUGUCACCCUGAAAUCCUGAGCAGUGAAUUUCAAACAACUGAAGGUCUCCUAACUUAAUUGUGUGUCUGUUCAUUAAAACUGCAUAUAGGAUCACAAAGCUUUGCAGAAAUAUUAAGCUACUGGAUUUAAGGCUCACUCUCAGAAUAGGGCCUCCUUUCUACCCUAAAUCCAUGAAAAUUAUCACAC